This 292-nucleotide ribosomal RNA is filed under the name uncultured bacterium. RNAcentral describes it as "partial 16S ribosomal RNA". It matches the Rfam family "Bacterial small subunit ribosomal RNA", at positions 505 to 796 of the family's 1533-position model. The record is from RNAcentral.
GUGUCAGCAGCCGCGGUAAUACGUAGGUGGCAAGCGUUAUCCGGAAUUACUGGGCGUAAAGCGCACGCAGGCGGUCUUUUAAGUUUGACGUGAAAGCUCCCGGCUUAACUGGGAGAGGUCGUUGAAUACUGGAAGACUUGAGGAAAUGAGAGGGGUGUAGAAUUCCUGGUGUAGUGGUGGAAUGCGUAGAUAUCAGGAGGAAUACCAGUGGCGAAAGCGGCACCCUAGCAUUUUUCUGACGCUCAUGUGCGAAAGCGUGGGGAGCGAACGGGAUUAGAAACCCCUGUAGUCC